AUUGAACGCUAGCGGGGUGCCUUACACAUGCAAGUCGAACGGCGUGGCGAAAGGGGGAGGAAUGUAUCGGAACGUGCACAGUAGCGGGGGAUAACUACGCGAAAGCAUAGAUAAUAACGCAUACUAUUGGAGCGGCAGCUAGCGGAUUAGCUAGAUGGUGGGGCAACGGCUUAGCAGGGCGACGAUCCGUAGCGUGCUUGAGAGGACGACCAGCCCCACUGGGACUGAGACAGGGCCCAGACUCCUACGGGAGGCAGCAGUGGGGAAUCUUGGACAAUGGGGGAAACCCUGAUCCAGCCAUGCCGCGUGUGUGAUGAAGGCCUUCGGGUUGUAAAGCACUUUUGGCAGGAAAGCGGUACCUGAAGAAGAAGCACCGGCUAACUACGUGCCAGCCGCCGCGGUAAUUC
This 407-nucleotide ribosomal RNA is filed under the name uncultured bacterium. RNAcentral's name for it is "partial 16S ribosomal RNA". It matches the Rfam family "Bacterial small subunit ribosomal RNA", at positions 29 to 526 of the family's 1533-position model. The record is from RNAcentral.